Molecule: ribosomal RNA, 466 nt
Filed under: uncultured bacterium
Lineage: Bacteria
Description: partial 16S ribosomal RNA
Rfam family: Bacterial small subunit ribosomal RNA
Source: RNAcentral
GAUGAACGCUGGCGGCGUGCUUAACACAUGCCAGUCGAACGAUGGAGCCCAGCUUGCUUGCUGGAUUAGUGGGGAACGGGCGAGUGAGACGUGAGUAAGUUGCCCACAUGCCUUUCAUAAGGCUGUGAAACGGGGACUAAUACCGGAUAGCAGCGUGCACCGCAUUGUGGGUGUUGGAAAGAUUUAUCGGGUUUGGAUGGACUCGCGGGCUAUCAGCUUGUUUGUGGGGUAAUGGAUCAGCAAGGCGACGACGGGUAGCCGGCCCGAGAGGGUGACCGGCCCCACUGGGAGUGAGCUACGGGCCGGACCACUAAGGGAGGCAGCAGUGGGGAAUAUUGCCCAAUGCGCGCAAGUAUGAUGCAGCGACGCCGCGUGAGGGAUGACGGACUUCGGGUUGUAAACCUCUUUCUGUCGGGCAGAAGCGAUAGUGCCGGUACCUGAAGAAGAAGCACCGGCUAACUCCGUG